GUGCACAUAAGUAAGAAGUUAGAUACCACGUAGUGUUUCCCUUAGAAAAAUCACAAGGAUGAGUGAGACUGCUUCAUGUAGGUGCAUACCGAAGAACUAGAAUUUCGCAAGACUUGAGCAAUAGGGCGCUCAUCAUUAUCAGAGGAUUUCUCAGGAGCAACCUGCAAAAGGGGAAAUGACAGUUAAGAAUAAAAACCGAGGCAAAAGAAAACGGAAAUUCAGCCAGAGUCGAACUUGAGCCUCUUG
RNAcentral lists this long non-coding RNA (246 nucleotides) under Lathyrus oleraceus (garden pea). RNAcentral's name for it is "Pisum sativum (pea) long non-coding RNA (PSAT_LNC008974)". The record is from RNAcentral. Lineage: Eukaryota; Viridiplantae; Streptophyta; Magnoliopsida; Fabales; Fabaceae.